GUCCCGGGACAGACGGGGGUUGAUUGAGAGGAACGAUACUGACAUCGCACAGUGAGCACUUGUCAGGAGCCAUGUGCUUUGGAGGCCCUCAGAGAUGAAACCACACAUUGGAGCUGUAGCAGGGGGUAGAAGAAGAAGAAGGAGGCUCCAGAAAAAGCUCGGCCGGCGCUCCCAGCCAAAUCACCAGCCAGAAACCAAACUGGAUGUGGUGAAACUGUCAAAUUACUUAAGGAAACUGCAGCAAAACCUCAGGAGACGAAAAACAGAGAGGGAGAGAAGAGUUUUUUUCAUUGUGUUGCAAAACAAGCAAAGCAAAAUGGUAUUUGUAAAAGAAUUUAUGAUUUUAAAAAGUCAUCGGGGAGGCCUGGCUGUUAGGGAGCAUAUUUGUCAAUAUCUUACAGUAUUCAUUUUCCGCGACCUUUCAAAUGUACUUUUAUUAGACUUAGGAUAAGAAUAGCUUUCUUCAUCCAGGUUGCUUUGUAAAAUAUUUGUAGUUUAGUUAAAAAUGUAUUCAUAAACUGCAUUGUUUGAUGGAAAUGCAGCUGGGGACCUUUGCUGCAUGUCAUUCUAUCCUUACAUGUCAAUUCUGCGAUAAAGGAAUAAAAGUCGAGAAAUGUG
This is a long non-coding RNA of Dicentrarchus labrax (European seabass), 618 nucleotides long. RefSeq lists it as uncharacterized. The record is from RefSeq and is a predicted model, not a curated record. NCBI's taxonomy places the organism in Eukaryota, Metazoa, Chordata, Actinopteri, Moronidae. The transcript is spliced from 2 exons.